Molecule: microRNA precursor, 97 nt
Filed under: Dasypus novemcinctus (nine-banded armadillo)
Lineage: Eukaryota; Metazoa; Chordata; Mammalia; Cingulata; Dasypodidae
Description: microRNA 449b (ENSDNOG00000037327.1)
Rfam family: mir-449 microRNA precursor family
Source: RNAcentral
UGACCUGAAUCAGGUAGGCAGUGUAUUGUUAGCUGGCUGCUUUGGAUCAGUUCAGCAGCCGGGACUACCUGCCACCUGCUUCUGGAUAAAUUCAUCU